This 253-nucleotide ribosomal RNA is filed under the name uncultured bacterium. RNAcentral describes it as "partial 16S ribosomal RNA". It matches the Rfam family "Bacterial small subunit ribosomal RNA", at positions 524 to 776 of the family's 1533-position model. The record is from RNAcentral.
UACGUAGGGGGCUAGCGUUGUCCGGAAUCAUUGGGCGUAAAGAGCGCGCAGGCGGUCGUUCAAGUCGCGUGUGAAAGCCCCCGGCUCAACUGGGGAGGGUCACGCGAUACUGAUCGACUCGAAGGCAGGAGAGGGUAGUGGAAUCCCCGGUGUAGUGGUGAAAUGCGUAGAUAUCGGGAGGAACACCAGUGGCGAAGGCGACUACCUGGCCUGUUCUUGACGCUGAGGCGCGAAAGCUAGGGGAGCAAACGGG